UCAUUUCUGCCUUGUUUCGUCAGUGCGGCCUUUUAUAAUCCAACACAUAUAUAAAGGGAACUUGCUCUUUCAGCGGAUUGCAGACCUCCCGGACCGGUCUUGAGCCGGUUUGGAUGAAGGGAGCGCGAACCUGAGAGGCUGUUCCCACCCUGUCAGAUGGACGGGUUUUAUAUAUGCUGCACAACGGCAAGGUGGAUUUUAC
Molecule: non-coding RNA, 202 nt
Filed under: Clostridiales bacterium
Lineage: Bacteria; Bacillati; Bacillota; Clostridia; Eubacteriales
Also listed under: 1 other name
Description: 6S RNA
Rfam family: 6S / SsrS RNA
About the family: E. coli 6S RNA was the first non coding RNA to be sequenced, but its function was unknown until recently.
Source: RNAcentral